This 503-nucleotide ribosomal RNA is filed under the name uncultured bacterium. Its description in RNAcentral is "partial 16S ribosomal RNA". It matches the Rfam family "Bacterial small subunit ribosomal RNA", at positions 30 to 523 of the family's 1533-position model. The record is from RNAcentral.
AUUGAACGCUGGCGGCAGGCUUAACACAUGCAAGUCGAGCGGGGUGAUGGUGCUUGCACUAUCACUUAGCGGCGGACGGGUGAGUAAUGCCUAGGAAUCUGCCUAUUAGUGGGGGACAACAUCUCGAAAGGGAUGCUAAUACCGCAUACGUCCUACGGGAGAAAGCAGGGGAUCACUUGUGACCUUGCGCUAAUAGGUGAGCCUAAGUCGGAUUAGCUAGUUGGUGGGGUAAAGGCCUACCAAGGCGACGAUCUGUAGCGGGUCUGAGAGGAUGAUCCGCCACACUGGGACUGAGACACGGCCCAGACUCCUACGGGAGGGAGCAGUGGGGAAUAUUGGACAAUGGGGGGAACCCUGAUCCAGCCAUGCCGCGUGUGUGAAGAAGGCCUUAUGGUUGUAAAGCACUUUAAGCGAGGAGGAGGCUCUUUUGGUUAAUACCCAAGAUGAGUGGACGUUACUCGCAGAAUAAGCACCGGCUAACUCUGUGCCAGCAGCCGCAGUAA